AUUGAACGCUGGCGGCAUGCCUUACACAUGCAAGUCGAACGGUAACAGGUCUUCGGAUGCUGACGAGUGGCGAACGGGUGAGUAAUACAUCGGAACGUGCCUAGUAGUGGGGGAUAACUACUCGAAAGAGUGGCUAAUACCGCAUGAGAUCUACGGAUGAAAGCAGGGGAUCGCAAGACCUUGUGCUACUAGAGCGGCCGAUGGCAGGUUAGGUAGUUGGUGGGAUAAAAGCUUACCAAGCCGACGAUCUGUAGCUGGUCUGAGAGGACGAUCAGCCACACUGGGACUGAGACACGGCUGAGACUCCUACGGGAGGCAGCAGUGGGGAAGUUUGGACAAUGGGCGAAAGCCUGAUCAGCAAUGCCGCGUGCAGGAUGAAGGCCUUCGGGUUGUAAACUGCUUUUGUACGGAACGAAAAGCCCCGGGUUAAUACCCUGGGGUCAUGACGGUACCGUAAGAAUAAGCACCGGCUAACUACGUGCCAGCCGCCGCAGUAA
This 497-nucleotide ribosomal RNA is filed under the name uncultured bacterium. Its description in RNAcentral is "partial 16S ribosomal RNA". It matches the Rfam family "Bacterial small subunit ribosomal RNA", at positions 30 to 523 of the family's 1533-position model. The record is from RNAcentral.